Molecule: microRNA, 20 nt
Filed under: Caenorhabditis elegans
Lineage: Eukaryota; Metazoa; Nematoda; Chromadorea; Rhabditida; Rhabditidae
Description: cel-miR-5549-5p
Source: miRBase by way of RNAcentral
CUUGUGAAAUUAACGUGAGU